AUGUGGCACUUUUCGGAUUUCGAGAUUCAAACAAGUCUAUUUUAUAACGUAAGUUUUUCAUAGAUCUUUUAAACAUUUUGAAUUAUCAAUUAUUGUGACUUGUAGUACUUUUUACAUAGUUUACAAAUAUAUAAAUAUCAUUUCGAAAAAAUUGAACAUUACAUGCGCAAAUUGCCGGUCAAACUUAAACUGUUUGACUCUCGAAAAACGAAAAGUGCCGCAUAA
RNAcentral lists this microRNA precursor (225 nucleotides) under Solanum tuberosum (potato). RNAcentral's name for it is "MIR8007 microRNA precursor family". It matches the Rfam family "MIR8007 microRNA precursor family". Lineage: Eukaryota; Viridiplantae; Streptophyta; Magnoliopsida; Solanales; Solanaceae. The record is from Rfam by way of RNAcentral.